This 120-nucleotide ribosomal RNA is filed under the name Pogona vitticeps (central bearded dragon). Lineage: Eukaryota; Metazoa; Chordata; Lepidosauria; Squamata; Agamidae. The record is from RNAcentral.
AACUAGCACCAUCCCAUUCUGAAGACACCAAUCUCAUCUGAUGUUCAAAAGCUGAGCAGGAGCAGGGCUGGUUAGUACUUGGUUGGGUUGACACUAGGGAACAUCUAGUAUCUCUAGAUA